UGUGAGAUUCAAUUUUACUUGAUUAGUAAUAAUUAUUAUUAAUUUUUAUAAAUUUUUAAUUAAAAAAAGUAGUUUUAUUUUAGUAAUUUUAAGAAAUAAUAGUUUUAAUAAUAGAGUAUUAGUAUUGAGAAAGAAGUUAUGAAUAAAUGUAAAAUAAAAAUAUUUUUGUACCUUGUGUAUCAGGGUUAAUUAAUUAAAAUAUAAAUAUUAAUUUCUCGAAUUUAAAAGAGCUAAAAUUAUAUAAGUUUAUUGUUGAAUAAAUAUAUUAAAUGUAAUUUUAGUAAUGAAAUGUUAUUCGUUUUUAAUAUAUCUAGUUAUUUAAGAAAAAAAUUUAAUUUUAUAAUUAAAAAUUAAUUAUUAAUUUUUUUUAUUAGUUAGUUUUAAUUGUUUAUUAAUAAGGGGAUGAGCUUUUAUUAAAAAUUUUAAAAAAUAUAAAAUUUUAUGAAAAAUUAUAGGAUUAGAAUUAUCUUUUAGUAAACUAUGUUAUAGUAGAUUUUUUUUAUAUAAGAUUUAUAUGAGUUUUAAAUUAUUUAUUAAAUUAUUUAUUUUAAUGAAAAUUUUUAAGUAAUAAUGAUUAAAUUAGUAAAUUUAUAUGUUAAGGAAAUUUAAGUUUUAGGUUAAUUAAAGGAAUUCGGCAAAUUAUUUUUCACCUGUUUAUUAAAAACAUGGCCUUUUGAGUAUAAUUUUAGGUCUAGCCUGCCCACUGAGGAGUUAAAUGGCCGCGGUAUUUUGACCGUGCUAAGGUAGCAUAAUCAUUAGUUUUUUAAUUGAAAGCUGGAAUGAAUGGUUGAAUGAAAAAAUAACUGUCUCUGAUUAAUUUAAAUUGAAUUUUAUUUGUAAGUAAAAAAGCUUAUAUAUAUUUAAAAGACGAGAAGACCCUAUAGAGUUUUAUAUUAAAAUUAAAUUAAAGUUUUAGGAUUUAAAAAUUAUUUUAAUUUAAAUAUUUGAUUGGGGUGAUUGAAAAAUUAAAUAAACUUUUUUUGUUUUAAAACAUAAAUUUAUGAAUAAAUGAUCCAAUAAUUUUGAUUAUAAGAAUAAAUUACCUUAGGGAUAACAGCGUAAUUUUUUUUUAGAGUUCUUAUCGAAAGAAAAGGUUGCGACCUCGAUGUUGGAUUAAAAUGAAUUUUUGGUGUAGAAGCUAAAAAUAUUAGGUCUGUUCGACCUUUAAAAUUUUACAUGAUCUGAGUUUAAACCGGUGUGAGCCAGGUUGGUUUCUAUCUUUAAUAAAAAAAUAUUUUCUAGUACGAAAGGAUCGAAAAUAUAAUAAAUUAUUUAUUUAAUGAAUACUAU
Molecule: ribosomal RNA, 1290 nt
Filed under: Lamiinae sp. GENSP01
Lineage: Eukaryota; Metazoa; Arthropoda; Insecta; Coleoptera; Cerambycidae
Description: 16S ribosomal RNA
Rfam family: Archaeal large subunit ribosomal RNA (bases 1050-1209)
Source: RNAcentral